RNAcentral lists this ribosomal RNA (254 nucleotides) under uncultured bacterium. RNAcentral's name for it is "partial 16S ribosomal RNA". It matches the Rfam family "Bacterial small subunit ribosomal RNA", at positions 524 to 776 of the family's 1533-position model. The record is from RNAcentral.
UACGUAGGGUGCAAGCGUUUGUCCGGAAUUAUUGGGCGUAAAGAGCUCGUAGGCGGCUUGUCGCGUCGGAUGUGAAAGCCCGGGGCUUAACUCCGGGUCUGCAUUCGAUACGGGCAGGCUAGAGUGUGGUAGGGGAGAUCGGAAUUCCUGGUGUAGCGGUGGAAUGCGCAGAUAUCAGGAGGAACACCGAUGGCGAAGGCAGGUCACUGGGCCGCAACUGACGCUGAGGAGCGAAAGCAUGGGGAGCGAACAGG